GAAAAAGAGGAGAGGUACAGUCAUGCAAAAUGGAAGCCAGUAAAUUAGUUUUGAGGCCAUUCUGCUAGUCUACUCAAAAGAAGGGAAGCUUAGGUUGGCUUGACCAUGGAACUGAUGAAAUUGGUUGUAUAUCUUACAGGCCAGUAGAGAGUGGCAUGACAUAUUUAAAGUGCUGAAGGAGAAAAAGUUUUAUCGCAGAAUAGAAUAUUCAGCAAAAAUAUCUCUCAUACAUUAGGGAGAAAUAAAGACUUUCCCAGAUAAUCAAAACCUAUGGGAUUUCAUUAAUAUCAGAUGUGUCCAACAAGAAAUGCUAAAGAGUUCUUCAAUCUGAAAGAAAGGGAUAUUAAUGAGCAAUAAAAAAAUCUGAAGGAAGAAAACUCGUGGGUUAUAGUAAGAAAAUGGAAAAAUGCAGAAUAUUAUAACACUGUAAUUGUGGGAUAUAAGUUACUCAUAUCUUGAGUAGAAAGAAUAAAAGAUAUACCUAUCAAAAAUAAUAACUACAACUUUUCAAUACAUAGACAGUACAAUAAGAUAUAAAUAGAAACAACAGAAAGUUAAAAAGUGGGGAGUGAAUUUGAAGUGUAGAGUAUUAGUUUUCUCUUUGGUUGUUAAUUUGUUUAUAAAAUCAGAUUAAAAUAAUGACUUCUAAAACAUUAUUUGCAAGCCUCAUUGUAACCUCAAAUCAGAAAAAUCUUCAACAAAUACACAAAAAUAAAAGAGAAAAAUGAAAAUAUACUACCAGAGAAAAUCACUUUCACUGAAAAGAAGACAGGAAGGAAGGAAAGGAGAAAUUUGUGAAACGACCAGAAAAUAAAUAACAAAAUGGCAAAAGUAAGUUCUUACUUAUCAAUAAUAACACUCAAUAUAGUCUAAACUCUAAUCAGGAGGCAGAGUGGCUGAAUGAAUUUUAAAAAGAUCCAAUGAUCUGUUGCCUAUGAGAAAAACAUUUCACUUGUAAUGACACAUAUAAAUUCAAAAUAAAGGGAUGGAAAAGCGUAUUCCUGCAAAUGGACACAAAAAAGGUGCAAAACUAUCUACACUUAAAUCAAACAAAACAAAUUUAAAGACAAAAACUAUAAAAAGAGACAAAGAAGAUUAUAUAAUAAUAAAGCAGUAAAUUCAGCAAGAAGAUAUAACAAUUUUAAACAUAUAUGCACUCAACACUGGAGCUCCCAGGUACCUAGAGCAAAUAUUAAUAGAGCUAAAGAGAGAGAGACCCCAAUGCAAUAAUAGCUGGAGGCUUCAACACCCUCACUUUUACCUUCGUACAGACCAUCUAGACAGAAAAUUAGCAAACUAACAUUGGACUUAAUCUGACCAAAUGGACAUAAUAGAUGUUUACAGAACAUUUUAUCCAAGAGCUGCAGAACAGACUUUCUUUUGCUCAGCCUGUAGAUCACUCUCAAAGGUAAACCAUAUGUUAAGUCACAAAACAAGUCUUAAAACAUU
This 1449-nucleotide long non-coding RNA is filed under the name Homo sapiens (human). RNAcentral's name for it is "non-protein coding lnc-C3orf30-7:1". The record is from RNAcentral. Lineage: Eukaryota; Metazoa; Chordata; Mammalia; Primates; Hominidae.